RNAcentral lists this ribosomal RNA (259 nucleotides) under uncultured Eubacteriales bacterium. Its description in RNAcentral is "uncultured Clostridiales bacterium partial 16S ribosomal RNA". It matches the Rfam family "Bacterial small subunit ribosomal RNA", at positions 524 to 783 of the family's 1533-position model. The record is from RNAcentral. Lineage: Bacteria; Bacillati; Bacillota; Clostridia; Eubacteriales.
UACGUAAGGACCGAGCGUUGUCCGGAAUCAUUGGGCGUAAAGGGUACGUAGGCGGCUAGAAAAGUUAGAAGUCAAAGGCUAUAGCUCAACUAUAGUAAGCUUCUAAAACUAUUUAGCUUGAGAGAUGGAAGGGAAAGUGGAAUUCCUAGUGUAGCGGUGGAAUGCGCAGAUAUUAGGAGGAAUACCGGUGGCGAAGGCGACUUUCUGGCCAUUUUCUGACGCUGAGGUACGAAAGCGUGGGUAGCAAACAGGAUUAGAU